This is a small nucleolar RNA of Ornithorhynchus anatinus (platypus), 138 nucleotides long. NCBI's taxonomy places the organism in Eukaryota, Metazoa, Chordata, Mammalia, Monotremata, Ornithorhynchidae. The record is from RefSeq and is a predicted model, not a curated record.
CGCCUCUCAGGAUCGCAUCCGGAGAGUUUCCAGUCCUCUACCAGUCUCGACUACGGGAGGGAGAGUCAAGCAGAGGCCUGCCCGUUCCAUUCCUAGCUUGGCCAGUGGCUAGCGAGGGGAAGGCAAUCUGCUACGGGU